GGGGGGCUGUUUUAACUGGUCAGUAAGUGGACAUUCCGCCUCAUCUCAUUGGCCCAUAACUACAAACCAAUCAGGACAGGAUUUCACUCAGAUGGUAGUGAUAAAAAGCCAGGCUCAGUACUGGUCAGACUAGAGUAGCUGUUGGAGUGGAACAGUGAGGGCUUAGGGGAGCUAGGAGAAGAGGUUUGUUUCUGAAGGGAAGUUAGAGAUGUAACCGAGGAACUGGUAUUGCCAGGGCAAAGAGCUGAAGGUCUGCUAGGAGGAGAGCAAGGUUUUGUGGCUAUUGCCAAAUGACAGCUGGUUGUUGUGAACAGGAACCCUAAGAAGAUUGAAGGGACCCAAGAGUGAAGGACAUGUGUGACUUGCUUCUUUGAAUGACCCCUUAGCGGAGGAUUUUGUUAACAUGCUUGCACUUGGGGGCUCUGGAGACUUCUGCUUGGAUCAACAAGAAACAUUGAUUCUAACAUGUUCCAGAGGAUUUGUGACAUUCUCAGCGUGUGUGAAACUCAAAUCACCCCCCACAGGCCCACCGUCUGAUGGCAUGUGGAAAGCUUUCCUCGCUAUUUGUCCUUGGAAAUGUGUAAGUACAGAAGUUAAUCCUUCUUGGGAUAAAUCUCAUUUAUGUGUUUGUCUCCUCGGCAAGGUUUAUCCUACUUCAUUAAGUUUUGGCAUCUCAAAGGGCAACAGCUGCACCGUCACACUGCCACCGCUUUAAGAACCUCCAUUCAUGAUAAUGUUUAAUGCAAACUUAUUCCUCUCUCCAACUGCAGGAACAUUAAAGCAGAUUUUCCUUA
Lacerta agilis (Sand lizard) is the source of this 794-nucleotide long non-coding RNA. RefSeq lists it as uncharacterized. The record is from RefSeq and is a predicted model, not a curated record. NCBI's taxonomy places the organism in Eukaryota, Metazoa, Chordata, Lepidosauria, Squamata, Lacertidae. The transcript is spliced from 2 exons.